This 230-nucleotide ribosomal RNA is filed under the name uncultured bacterium. Its description in RNAcentral is "partial 16S ribosomal RNA". It matches the Rfam family "Bacterial small subunit ribosomal RNA", at positions 563 to 791 of the family's 1533-position model. The record is from RNAcentral.
AAGCGUGCGCAGGCGGUUAUGUAAGACAGAUGUGAAAUCCCCGGGCGUCAACCUGGGAACUGCAUUUGUGACUGCAUGGCUAGAGUACGGUAGAGGGGGAUGGAAUUCCGCGUGUAGCAGUGAAAUGCGUAGAUAUGCGGAGGAACACCGAUGGCGAAGGCAAUCCCCUGGGCCUGUACUGACGCUCAUGCACGAAAGCGUGGGGAGCAAACAGGAUUAGAUACCCGAGU